Molecule: small nucleolar RNA, 68 nt
Filed under: Loxodonta africana (African savanna elephant)
Lineage: Eukaryota; Metazoa; Chordata; Mammalia; Proboscidea; Elephantidae
Description: Small nucleolar RNA SNORD112 (ENSLAFG00000033216.1)
Source: RNAcentral
UAGCCCAAUGACAAGAAUGUGUCAUAAACCUAAGAUUAUGACUAAUUCAAUUCUGUACACCUAAGAUU